UCUCCAUCGUUCCUGCACCGUAGC
Molecule: non-coding RNA, 24 nt
Filed under: Bombyx mori (domestic silkworm)
Lineage: Eukaryota; Metazoa; Arthropoda; Insecta; Lepidoptera; Bombycidae
Source: miRBase by way of RNAcentral